UAAUAAGUGUUUUAUGGCACUUUUUAAAUCCAUAUCCACCUUGUGUGCAAUGUCAGUCGAUCUUCUUUCAUGGAGAUCGACCAAAACAUCAACCUUUAUCUUUUAACUCUUUGUCUGAAAAAUAUUAUGAUAAAACAAUUCAAAAAUA
RNAcentral lists this unclassified non-coding RNA (148 nucleotides) under soil metagenome. Its description in RNAcentral is "partial internal transcribed spacer 1". The record is from RNAcentral.